UGGUCGGUUAGCUCAGUUGGUAAAGAGCUGCAGUGCUGAUAACGCCAAGGUCGCGGGUUCGAUUCCCGCACCGCCAU
Non-coding RNA from Chlorocebus sabaeus (green monkey), 77 nucleotides. The record is from the annotation of a RefSeq genome assembly. NCBI's taxonomy places the organism in Eukaryota, Metazoa, Chordata, Mammalia, Primates, Cercopithecidae.